GCUGCCGUAGCUCAGUGGUAGAGCGCACCCUUGGUAAGGGUGAGGUCGAGAGUUCAAUCCUCUCCGGCAGCACCA
Molecule: transfer RNA, 75 nt
Filed under: Pacificimonas flava
Lineage: Bacteria; Pseudomonadati; Pseudomonadota; Alphaproteobacteria; Sphingomonadales; Sphingosinicellaceae
Description: tRNA-Thr
Rfam family: tRNA
About the family: Transfer RNA (tRNA) molecules are approximately 80 nucleotides in length. Their secondary structure includes four short double-helical elements and three loops (D, anti-codon, and T loops).
Source: RNAcentral